Molecule: ribosomal RNA, 388 nt
Filed under: uncultured bacterium
Lineage: Bacteria
Description: bacterial SSU rRNA
Rfam family: Bacterial small subunit ribosomal RNA
Source: RNAcentral
GACGAACGCUGGCGGCGUGCUUAACACAUGCAAGUCGAGCGGUAAGGCCCGUUUCGGGGGUACACGAGCGGCGAACGGGUGAGUAACACGUGGGUGACCUGCCCUCAGCUCUGGGAUAAGCCUGGGAAACCGGGUCUAAUACUGGAUAUGACUCCAUGACGCAUGUUGGUGGGGUGGAAAGCCUUGUGCGGCUGAGGAUGGGCCCGCGGCCUAUCAGCUUGUUGGUGGGGUGAUGGCCUACCAAGGCGACGACGGUAGCCGGCCUGAGAGGGCGACCGGCCACACUGGGACUGAGACACGGCCCAGACUCCUACGGGAGGCAGCAGUGGGGAAUCUUGCGCAAUGGGCGAAAGCCUGACGCAGCGACGCCGCGUGAGGGAUGACGGCC